Molecule: ribosomal RNA, 228 nt
Filed under: uncultured fungus
Lineage: Eukaryota; Fungi
Description: partial 26S ribosomal RNA
Rfam family: Eukaryotic large subunit ribosomal RNA
Source: RNAcentral
GCAUAUCAAUAAGCGGAGGAAAAGAAAACAACCGUGAUUUCCAUAGUAAGGACGACUGAAGUGGAAAUAGUUCACCGUGCGAAUCUGCGCCUCGGCGCCGAAUUGUGGUCUGGAGACAGUUACGCUACGAUCCGAGCCAAGUCCCUUGGAACAGGGCAGCAGAGAGGGUGAGACUCCCGUUCGCUUGGGUCACAAAGUGGCUGUCAACGAGUCGAGUUGUUUGGGAAU